Long non-coding RNA from Chelonia mydas (Green sea turtle), 1082 nucleotides. RefSeq lists it as uncharacterized. The transcript is spliced from 4 exons. The record is from RefSeq and is a predicted model, not a curated record. NCBI's taxonomy places the organism in Eukaryota, Metazoa, Chordata, Testudines, Cheloniidae.
GGAACAGUUGCACUAUGAGGGAGCCUUUUUCCUCUCCCACCUACGCUGGAAACAAUCGGGAUGCCAAGAAGAUGAUCAUCUGGGGAGACUUCAGGGCGGAAGUCUUUGCAUUAAGGACUGUAACUUCCAGUGGGAAAUGGCUUCCCUAGGUGCAUGCUUCCCCUUCUUGAAGAGGAACUGUGGGUGCAAAACGGGAGACCAAAGUUUGGCAAUCUAUCUCAUGUUCUGCAGAUGUCAUGUAGUGCCCUAUGGACAGAAGGAGCUAGGAUUCGUUUGUUUCUGAUCAGGCAAAAAAUAAUGCCCAAAAGGCUCCAGCUCCAACAUGUGUGAUAAUGUACAAGCAUAUAAUAGAGAGACAGUCCCUGCCCUGAAGAGUUUACAAUCUAAAAGACAAGAGAUCAAGAAACAGAUGGGGGAGCACAAGGUAAUAAUGUAUUAAAAUCCUUUAUGCAUCUUAUAUCAAGAAAGACAACCUAUGGAGUACAACCCAGCUCAGGAUGGAGAUGAGAAAAUAGUCCUGUUAGGACAACACAGAGACUUUCAUUCUUGCAUUUGGUGUCUACACACGAUGGAGAUUGGCAGUCUAGUUAGAUUAUUAAAACUUGGUUCUUGAUCAAACUUCAGGUACUCUGGUUACAGAUCCAUGACUAGUGUAAAUUGGUUUUGAGGCUACUUCCUAGCUGCUUGUUGCAGAGAGAGUUUACAUUCUCCUUUUCUACUUUGCAUUCUGCAAAAACAUCCUCAUUCCGUCAUGGGAGAUGCUUCAGUAUUUUUGAUAGAUGGACAUUCAUGAUGCCAGUGUGCUUCUGAUACACCACAAAUAAAUAUCCCAUAAACAGAGUUCCACAUGGGGAAUUGCCAGCCUCCACAGGAGAUUAAUAACAACGGAAAGAACAGCUUACCUGGUAUCACACCUCCAUAGUUAAUUGGCAGUACUAUUCCAGGAGAUGUCUGCCAGCACAUCCCAGUCACAGAGGAAGCAGGUUGGUGGUUUUUUAAUUAAUCUUAUAGAAGUCUUAAUCUGUGCUUAAUUAGACAUUCUUUACUCUUUCAUUUAUAGGGAGAUAGAUAACACCAGCACA